CCUACGGGUGGCUGCAGUGAGGAAUAGUGGUCAAUGGACGAGAGUCUGAACCAGCCAAGUAGCGUGAAGGAUGACUGCCCGAUGGGUUGUAAACUGCUUGUAUAGGGGAAUAAAAUGUGGCACGUGUGGGAUGUUGUAUGUACCAUAUGAAUAAGGAUCGGCUAACUCCGUGCCAGCAGCCGCGGUAAUACGGAGGAUCCGAGCGUUAUCCGGAUUUAUGGGGUUUACAGGGAGCGUAGGUGGCUUGUUAAGUCAGUUGGGAAAGUUUGCGGCUCAACCGUAAAAUUGCCGUUGAAACUGGCAUUCUUUAGUACAGUAGAGGUGGGCUGCCUUCGUGUUGUCGC
This 344-nucleotide ribosomal RNA is filed under the name uncultured bacterium. RNAcentral describes it as "partial 16S ribosomal RNA". It matches the Rfam family "Bacterial small subunit ribosomal RNA", at positions 338 to 679 of the family's 1533-position model. The record is from RNAcentral.